AUCAUAUUGUUAAUUUAUGGAAUUAAAAUGACAUGAAAAUUACCUAAUAUUCUAACAGACCAAACUUGAAAUAAUUCAAAUUACCAUGCAAAGCAAACCCAACAAAAAUUUCACAACCUGACAAACAAAUUGCACAGACACACAAGCAUUUUACUAUUCGGCACUAUAGGCUUGAAACCAGUAUAAUAUACCAGGAACAUGCAUAGACACAAACUGAACUGUCUAGCACCAACAUUACAAGAUUGUGUCAUGUAAAGUCACACAUUCAGCCCUACUACUAUUCUGUGUGCAAACACUUGUAGAAUAAAAAGAUAGUUUCUACUGAUGAUGUUAAUGAGACACCAAAGUAUAUUUGCAGAUUAUGGUCUCUCAAAACUUAACUAGAUGGCCUUCUUUAUGUUGUCACGCUGAGCUACAUGUGAUUCUCAAACUCAGGUGUAGUCGUUGUCUAAUAUUUAUACCUGGCCUUUCCAGCAGUCUUGACCUUGGAAAGCCUCCUCCUACAAUGACAAAUCAAGAGCAACCAGUUACUCCAAGGUUACAAAUUAUAUAUGAAUGAAGGGGGUGUUUAGAAUUACCAAAAAAAAUAUUUGCUUGCUACUACUGCAAUGGAGAAGGACAAUCAAUAGGUAGUUGGCAAAUUAAAUCUUGUACAUAGAUACACACAAGCACAAAAGAUAAAAAGACGCUACAUGAUCAUAAUCUCUACUAGCUUUCAAGAGAGUUCGACAUCCAUCUAUGUACUCAAUGUUAGCAAGCUGCACAAUUUGUCAGUUAUUGAAAUGUAAUUUAGAAAAGUAUGUCUGAAGAUGGACAGUAGGUGAAUUCUGAUUUGUAGGAAGACAAAGAUUUUAUAUUUUUCUUUUGUUUUGUGUUGUGCCUACUGAUUUGUAACACAGAGAACACUUGAGGGUUCAAAUAGAGCACCAGUGCACAGGCAUGCAGCUAGGUACUGCUAUUGCUAUCACACCAUAAGAGUGGCAGCAACAUAUGAAAAUAUUUUUAUAAGUACAGGUAAGCUCCACCAAAUAAAGAUGCACCAUUGUUCUAAAAAAAUAAAAAAAAUAAAUAAAUAUGUGCCACUGGUGUGACUAUCCUUCUUUUAGACAUAUGAUCAGGCAAACUGAGUUUGUCAAUGCAGGCCUUAUAACAACAAAUAUGGCCCAGAAAUGCAUCUCUACAAUCCAAAUGUUCUCAUCUCUAAGGGUUGCACAGAAGCAUUUCUUCUUUCAGAUUUGCAAUGACUAAAUAUCUAGUUUCCAGCAGUUAAGUAGACUCACAUGUUAGACCAUCGUAUUUUUGAGCCGAAUCAAAGUUGAUUCUUGAUCUAGUUCAUAGCCAAUUAGGAAGGCCUCUCUAUUCUCUUUGCUUUUUGUUGGUAUUUCUAAUGUCAUUGCAAUAAAACUGAAUCUCUAUCCCACGCAAUGAUACUAGAAAUGUUGAUACUAAUUAACUUGUCUUUAGCAACUAGCCACUAGCCUCUUGACCCUUACUCCUAACUGUGAAACUAGGUUGUCACCCCCAAUUGUAAAGGUAGGAGUAAACUUUGGUACUAAAUCUUAUCAUUUUAUGUGACUAGGCAAAAAUAAAUAAAGAUGAAUAUAAAUUAAAAAUAAUUCCGUAAACGGACAGAUAAUUAUACCAUUGUAGCAUUUUACCUAGAGUAUUACCAGGUUGUCAUUUAUAUUCUACCACUGGGAAGGCAUUGCUAAGAAGCUACUCAUAGUAUUGAUAACAUGUAUAUGUAUAUGCAUUGAAUAGAUGAUGUAACCAAUGUCAUUCACUCUACUCAUAACAGGGGUAAGUCACAAGAUAAAUAAUAUGGUAAAGAUAAUAAUAACUAUAAUGAUAAUGAGCCAUUAAUCAGUCAUCUCCUAAUGAUACUAAUCCAUCAUAGCACUCUAAUCAUUUCAGCGUUGUCUAAUCAGGUAAUAGAGAAAUAACUCCUAUGUAUUUAACUACGUGUCAAAGCUACAUCAACUAGUGUAAGUACAUCUAGUAAUCAUUGUCAAGUUAUACUACCAUAGUUCCCAAACACAUCAGAGCAAUGUACAGGAAAAGAUGAGUACAGGAAUCUCCUCUCAACCUAAUAAUCCCACUCUACCAAUCCACCGUAUGGGGGAAGGCCUAUAAAGGACUCGAUGGGUCUGUCACACCCAUGAUCUACCUUACUACCCAACACAACUGGGGAUAUCCGCAGAUAAGCAAAAUAUCUAGACACCAUGUCUACAUAUUGCCCACCACUCACCAUACGACCAACUAGAUGAGCGCUAUACGAACC
RNAcentral lists this long non-coding RNA (2281 nucleotides) under Sorghum bicolor (sorghum). RNAcentral describes it as "long non-coding RNA (SBIC_LNC017388)". Lineage: Eukaryota; Viridiplantae; Streptophyta; Magnoliopsida; Poales; Poaceae. The record is from RNAcentral.